This 411-nucleotide ribosomal RNA is filed under the name Bacteroidota bacterium. Its description in RNAcentral is "Bacteroidetes bacterium partial 16S ribosomal RNA". It matches the Rfam family "Bacterial small subunit ribosomal RNA", at positions 355 to 776 of the family's 1533-position model. The record is from RNAcentral. Lineage: Bacteria; Pseudomonadati; Bacteroidota.
UGGGGAAUAUUGCGCAAUGGGGGAAACCCUGACGCAGCGACGCCGCGUGCGGGAUGAAGGCCCUCGGGUUGUAAACCGCCUUUGAUUGGGAGCAAGCUUUCGGGUGAGUGUACCUUUCGAAUAAGCGCCGGCUAACUACGUGCCAGCAGCCGCGGUAAUACGUAGGGCGCAAGCGUUAUCCGGAAUUAUUGGGCGUAAAGAGCUUGUAGGCGGUUCGUCGCGUCUGGUGUGAAAGCCCAUCGCUUAACGGUGGGUUUGCGCCGGGUACGGGCGGGCUAGAGUGCAGUAGGGGAGACUGGAAUUCUCGGUGUAACGGUGGAAUGUGUAGAUAUCGGGAAGAACACCGAUGGCGAAGGCAGGUCUCUGGGCUGUUACUGACGCUGAGAAGCGAAAGCGUGGGGAGCGAACAGG